This 665-nucleotide long non-coding RNA is filed under the name Equus caballus (horse). RNAcentral describes it as "lncRNA (ENSECAG00000028327.3)". The record is from RNAcentral. Lineage: Eukaryota; Metazoa; Chordata; Mammalia; Perissodactyla; Equidae.
CAAGGAUCUGGCACAUUCUCUGCCCAGCCUUUCCCCAUCACUGCUGCAGCAUGCCGCAGCCUGUGCUCUGGAUGGCCCUGGCUCCUCUGCUAGCCGCCCUCAAUGCAGGAUGGUCUGAGAGCCUGGAAAUUCUAGGAGGUGAAGGUGACAGCAAAACCAUGAGGGCCUCAGCGCCAGACCUCUGGGGAUCAGGGGGCCUCUCAGCCAACCCGUGGCCCCUGUCACACGAUCUUCGUGCUUUUCUCUUCCUGUGUCUCAUGCUGGCUGUGUCCAGAAGAGCCAUCAUCCGCAGCGCCAGCCACCCCGCCACGUUCUCAGUGAAGGCCCACUUGUUAUGACAGUCUGCGGGAUGGUCACCUUCUCUCCCUGCAGUGGGGCCCACUGCACCAUCCUGUGCCUCAUCACCCGCUCGCCAGGCCAGCACUCCGUGGAGAGAAGCUGCGUGCCAUGCCCCUUUGGCUUUUGGUGUUUGGGUGGCAGGACAACUCUGCAGCCAUGCCCCACCUGCCGAACCUGCGCUGAGCUCCCAGGACUCAUAGACAGCAAGGAGUGCCAGUGGUGCCUGACUAGACAGAAGCCAAGCUCGCAGAAUGCUGGCUACGUCUUCUGCCCCCUGGGAUACUUCUUCACAGACAGAGGCCCCAGCUGCCAGCCCUUCCCCACAG